UUUUUUUUCAAAGUCCUUU
RNAcentral lists this small RNA (19 nucleotides) under Arabidopsis thaliana (thale cress). RNAcentral's name for it is "ATSL133300". The record is from RNAcentral. Lineage: Eukaryota; Viridiplantae; Streptophyta; Magnoliopsida; Brassicales; Brassicaceae.